RNAcentral lists this ribosomal RNA (496 nucleotides) under uncultured bacterium. Its description in RNAcentral is "partial 16S ribosomal RNA". It matches the Rfam family "Bacterial small subunit ribosomal RNA", at positions 29 to 507 of the family's 1533-position model. The record is from RNAcentral.
AUGCACGCUGGCGGCGUGCCUAAUACAUGCAAGUCGCGCGAACAGAUAAGGAGCUUGCUCCUUUGACGUUAGCGGCGGACGGGUGAGUAACACGUGGAUAACCUACCUAUAAGACUGGGAUAACUUCGGGAAACCGGAGCUAAUACCGGAUAACAUAUUGAACCGCAUGGUUCAAUAGUGAAAGGCGGCUUUGCUGUCACUUAUAGAUGGAUCCGCGCCGUAUUAGCUAGUUGGUAAGGUAACGGCUUACCAAGGCAACGAUACGUAGCCGACCUGAGAGGGUGAUCGGCCACACUGGAACUGAGACACGGUCCAGACUCCUACGGGAGGCAGCAGUAGGGAAUCUUCCGCAAUGGGCGAAAGCCUGACGGAGCAACGCCGCGUGAGUGAUGAAGGUCUUCGGAUCGUAAAACUCUGUUAUCAGGGAAGAACAAAUGUGUAAGUAACUGUGCACAUCUUGACGGUACCUGAUCAGAAAGCCACGGCUAACUACGUG